ACGGGGUGCAGCAGGCGCGAAAUCUUCACAAUGUGCGAAAGCACGAUGAGGGGAUCCCAAGUGUUGGUUCGUAAGAAUCAUCUGUUUCUUUGUCUAAAAAACAGAGAGAGUAAGAGCUGGGUAAGACGGGUGCCAGCCGCCGCGGUAAUACCUGCAGCUCAAGUGGUGGCCGCUAUUAUUGGGCCUAAAACGUCCGUAGCCGGUUUAGUAAAUGCUUGGGUAAAUUGUGUAGCUCAACUAUACGAAUACCGAGUAGACUGCUGAACUUGGGACCGGGAGAGGCUAGAGGUACUCCUAGGGUAGAGGUGAAAUUCUGUAAUCCUAGGGGGACCACCAGUGGCGAAGGCGUCUAGCUAGAACGGGUCUGACGGUGAGGGGCGAAGCCCUGGGGCGCAAACCGGAUUAGAUACCCGGGUAGUCCAGGGUGUAAACGCUGCUCGCUUGAUGUUAGUUGGGCUCCGAGCCCAACUAGUGUCGGAGAGAAGUUGUUAAGCGAGCUGCCUGGGAAGUACGGUCGCAAGGCUGAAACUUAAAGGAAUUGGCGGGGGAGCACAGCAACGGGUGGAGCGUGCGGUUUAAUUGGAUUCAACGCCGGAAAUCUCACCGGAGGCGACGGUUAUAUGAAGGCCAGGCUGAUGACCUUGCCUGAUUUUCCGAGAAGUGGUGCAUGGCCGUCGUCAGUUCGUACCGUGAGGCGUUCUGUUAAGUCAGACAACGAACGAGACCCUCAUCUUUAGUUGCUACUGGUAAGUCCGCUUAUCAG
Molecule: ribosomal RNA, 763 nt
Filed under: uncultured archaeon
Lineage: Archaea
Description: bacterial SSU rRNA
Rfam family: Archaeal small subunit ribosomal RNA
Source: RNAcentral